This 499-nucleotide ribosomal RNA is filed under the name uncultured bacterium. RNAcentral describes it as "partial 16S ribosomal RNA". It matches the Rfam family "Bacterial small subunit ribosomal RNA", at positions 28 to 507 of the family's 1533-position model. The record is from RNAcentral.
GACGAACGCUGGCGGCGUGCCUAAUACAUGCAAGUCGAGCGGACUGAAUGGGAGCUUGCUCUUGUUCGGUCAGCGGCGGACGGGUGAGUAACACGUUGGCAACCUGCCCGCAAGACCGGGAUAACUCCGGGAAACCGGAGCUAAUACCGGAUAACACCGAAGACCGCAUGGUCUUUGGUUGAAAGGCGGCGCAAGCUGCCACUUGCGGAUGGGCCCGCGGCGCAUUAGCUAGUUGGUGAGGUAACGGCUCACCAAGGCGACGAUGCGUAGCCGGCCUGAGAGGGUGACCGGCCACACUGGGACUGAGACACGGCCCAGACUCCUACGGGAGGCAGCAGUAGGGAAUCUUCCGCAAUGGGCGAAAGCCUGACGGAGCGACGCCGCGUGAGCGAAGAAGGCCUUCGGGUCGUAAAGCUCUGUUGUGAGGGACGAAGGAGCGCCGUUUGAAGAAGGCGGCGCGGUGACGGUACCUCACGAGGAAGCCCCGGCUAACUACGUG